GCGGGUGUAGUUUAGUGGUAAAACCUCUGUCUUCCACACAGAUGUCGUCGGUUCGAUUCCGUCCACCCGCACCA
RNAcentral lists this transfer RNA (74 nucleotides) under Opitutaceae bacterium. RNAcentral's name for it is "tRNA-Gly". It matches the Rfam family "tRNA". Rfam says of the family: Transfer RNA (tRNA) molecules are approximately 80 nucleotides in length. Their secondary structure includes four short double-helical elements and three loops (D, anti-codon, and T loops). Further hydrogen bonds mediate the characteristic L-shaped molecular structure. tRNAs have two regions of fundamental functional importance: the anti-codon, which is responsible for specific mRNA codon recognition, and the 3' end, to which the tRNAs corresponding amino acid is attached (by aminoacyl-tRNA synthetases). tRNAs cope with the degeneracy of the genetic code in two manners: having more than one tRNA (with a specific anti-codon) for a particular amino acid; and 'wobble' base-pairing, i.e. permitting non-standard base-pairing at the 3rd anti-codon position. The record is from RNAcentral. Lineage: Bacteria; Pseudomonadati; Verrucomicrobiota; Opitutia; Opitutales; Opitutaceae.